Molecule: long non-coding RNA, 3288 nt
Filed under: Salmo salar (Atlantic salmon)
Lineage: Eukaryota; Metazoa; Chordata; Actinopteri; Salmoniformes; Salmonidae
Description: lncRNA (ENSSSAG00000119581.1)
Source: RNAcentral
CUUUUUAAUAGAAAUCACCACUGCUAAUCCAAUUGACAAGAGAACGUGUCUGAGAUUAGAAAUUAACUGGUAGUAUGCAAGACUGUAAUUACUAUUGAAAUAUGAAUCUUUUUGAAGACACUGAUGUAUUCUUGAAGAUGCUGUUUGUUGUACAUUUUAUUGCCUUUUUACUUCACUUUUUGUCCAUUUUGAAGUAGCAGUAUAUAUCAUGAGGCUGUAAUUUUAGACACAACUCCUGUUAAUACGGUUAUGUUUGGUUUUACAGUACUUUACUUUUUGUCCAUUUUGAAGGAGCAGUAUACAUCAUGAGGCUGUAAUUUCAGACACAACUCUUUGUAAUUUAGUCCUACAGUCAUCUUCUGUGUUAUCUUCUGUCUGUAUAAUCAGUGCUUUCUUUCAACCCUUAAUUUAGAAUGCUGGAGAAACAGGUAACUGCCAAAAUCAAGGAAACACCCAUAUAAAGUGUCUUCAUAGGGUGGCGUUGGGCCACCACGAGCCAGAACAGCUUCAAUGCACCUUGGCAUAGAUUCUACAAGUGCUUGGAAUAAUUUGGUGUUUUGUUGAUGGUGGUGGAAAACGCUGUCUCAGGCUCCGCUCCAGAAUCUCCCAUAAGUGUUCGAUUGGGUUGAGAAUUGGUGACUGAGACGGCCAUGGCAUAUGGUUUACAGCGUUUUCAUGCUCAUCAAACCAUUCAGUGACCACUCGUGUCCUGUGGAUGGGGACAUUGUCAUCCUAUGGGGGCAUAGCCAUGGUAGCCAAAAUAAUGGCCUGCCCAACAUUUUUAAACAUGACCCUAAGCAUGAUGGGAUGUUAAUUCCUUUAUUAACUCAGGAACCACACCUGUGUGGAAAUACCUGCUUUAAUAUAUACUUUGCAUCCCUCAUUUACUCAAGUGUUGCCAUUAGUUUGUCAGUUACCUGUAUGUUUCAGGGCCACGGAAAAUACUAAUAACAGUUUCCCAUGUAGAGUAGGACGACAAAGGAAUGGAGUGGUUCAGUCCCAUUCUGUUGUCUGCAUCAGUUGAAAUAUAUUAGAUACAUAACCAUAGAUAUAAAGGUAUACUUUAGACAGACUGGUCAGAUGAUGACGCUUGCUCUGUCUCUGUUGAGGCAGGGACUAAUUUAGAACCAUAUGGGGCAGUGAGAGAUGAGCUGAACAUCGCUGUUGUUGUUUGUUGUUGUUUCCUGCAGAUCCUGAAUGCUGAGCCAGUCACUGUAGCUUCCUGUCUCACUGUAGCCCUUAAACCGUCCCUAAACUCGCUUCUCUCGCUCUACUGUAGCCUACAUCUAUGUUUACUGCUCAUCCAUUUCCUUUAGGACUUUUAGCGUUGUUUUCCGUUUUUUAUUUAUUUUAUUUUUUAUUUAUUUUUUGUAUAUUCGCCCUUUUCUACUGUAUAGAUUUUGUGUGCAAUUUCUCUUCCUUUUGGGGCUUUUAAAUGUGUAUAUAAUUCAUUUGUUUGACUGUAUAGAGCGAUGGUUAUCUGCGCUGUGUCUGGUUUUCCCUGAGGGUAAUAAUCUCCAGAAAUGGGCCCAAUCGGUUAAGGCAUUUAUCUGAAUCAGCCACGUCACGUCAUCCAUUCAGCAGAUAGCAGUAGAAUCUCAGUGUUCGUUCUGGAAAAAUCACAGGUCAGUUUAGCUACAGUUGAAGUCGGAGGUUUACAUGCACAUAGGUUGGAGUCAUUGAAACUCAUUUUUCAACCACUCCACAAAUGUCUUGUUAACAAACUGUAGUUUUGGCAAGUCGGUUAGGACAUCUACUUUGUGCAUGACACAAGUAAUUUUUCCAACAAUUGUUUACAGACAGAUUAUUUCACUUAUAAUUUACUGUAUCACAAUUUCAGUGGGUCAGAAGUUUACAUACACUACGUUGACUGUGCCUUUAAACAGCUUGGAAAAUUCCAGAAAAUGUAAUGCUGUAGAAGCUUCUGAUAGGCUAAUUGACAUCAUUUGAGUCAAUUGGAGGUGUACCUGUGGAUGUAUUUCAAGGCCUACCUUCAAACUUAGUGCCUCUUUGCCAUCAUGGGAAAAUCAAAAGAAAUCAGCCAAGACCUCAGAAAAAUAUUGUAGACCUCCACAAGUCUGGUUCAUCCUUGGGAGCAAUUUCCAAAUGCCUGAAGGUAAUACGUUCAUCUGUACAAACAAUAUUAAAUGUAUUUGGCUAAGGUGUAUGUAAACUUCCAACUUCAACUGUACAUAACUACAGUAUGACCAUUUUCUGGUCAAUGGUUUGGAGCUGGAUCAGUACCCUGCAGAUAAUUUGCCACAUUUCUUUUAGUCACUGGGCAUUGGUUAUGGGUUCAAUCCUUUUUGUCUACUUUAGCAUUCUUUUGUAAACAACAUGCACUGGAAAGUACUUUGUGUCUGUAGAUCUGAUGCGUCCCUGAGCAAUCCCUGUGAUAUUGUACAGUGUACUCUGGUUCGUUCUUUCAAAUCUGUCGUGUGCUCAACUAGCUGUGUGUCUGUAGUAUAGCAGACCAUUGACGAUGCGAUAACCUGCAUAGAACAGUCUUUGAUUACUUUGAAAGAGAAACAAGCCACCAUGGUGCCCAGAAAUAAUUUUUCAGAGGGGGUUCUGAAGCUGUGUACUGGAGAUAGACAUAUAUUUGCCAUAUCUCAGCACUGUGCAAAGCUACAGGAACUCGAUACCGUGAGUUUUGUAUAUUAUGGAAAAACCGUCAGUGUCUUGAUUUUUUUUGUCCGUUUCCUUUAAUGUAUAUUUUUAUGAGACCAUUUCUUACUCAUUGUCUUUCCUAACUUUUUUAAUGUCUUUUCAUAUGAAGGGUCAGUUUUUAUAGGGACAGUUUUGAGGCUUUUAAAUCAUGUUUAAUACCUGUUAGAUCUUUUUAACAAGUCCAAUGAGAUCAAAGGCUUUUUUGUAUAAAAAUGAGCUUAAAACAUUUCUUUUGUGACUGGUUCUGGUGUAAACAUGUUUUCAAUGAUACUGUCAAAACUGAAACAUUUAUUUCAAUGUUGUGCUCCAUAUGAUCUCUGAGGUUAAAUCAUCACCAAGAAACAUUGUCCUUUUUUAGGAACCGAUGAACUGUACAUGUAUUACUGACACCUGGAAAAUGCCUUUAACUGCUCAGUUUCAACUAAGUCUUGAUUAUCACACACUCUCUGUACUCCCAAGAAAAGAGACCCAGCGAAAAUGUAGCAUUUUUGUGAACAUUGACUGUGUGUUUUCAAGACUGUACUGUGCACUCAUUUAUUUUUUUGUGUUUUAUUUUCGUUGAUACAUUAUGGAAGUAAGGACAAUUUGUUAUGUAGUGCAAUAUGCUGUACAUAUAAG